AACGUAGGUGGCGAGCGUUAUCCGGAUUCAUUGGGCGUAAAGAGCUUGUAGGCGGUCGCGUAAGUUGGACGUGAAAACUCCGGGCUUAACUUGGAGAGGCCGUUCAAUACUGCGGGACUGGAGGAUGUCAGAGGGGAGUGGAAUUCCUGGUGUAGCAGUGAAAUGCGUAGAUAUCAGGAGGAACACCCGUGGCGAAGGCGGCUCCCUGGGACAUCCCUGACGCUGAGAAGCGAAAGCUAGGGGAGCAAACGGG
This 253-nucleotide ribosomal RNA is filed under the name uncultured bacterium. RNAcentral describes it as "partial 16S ribosomal RNA". It matches the Rfam family "Bacterial small subunit ribosomal RNA", at positions 524 to 776 of the family's 1533-position model. The record is from RNAcentral.